RNAcentral lists this ribosomal RNA (361 nucleotides) under Clostridioides difficile. RNAcentral's name for it is "bacterial SSU rRNA". It matches the Rfam family "Bacterial small subunit ribosomal RNA", at positions 711 to 1070 of the family's 1533-position model. Lineage: Bacteria; Bacillati; Bacillota; Clostridia; Peptostreptococcales; Peptostreptococcaceae. The record is from RNAcentral.
AGUUGCGAAGGCGGCUCUCUGGACUGUAACUGACGCUGAGGCACGAAAGCGUGGGGAGCAAACAGGAUUAGAUACCCUGGUAGUCCACGCUGUAAACGAUGAGUACUAGGUGUCGGGGGUUACCCCCCUCGGUGCCGCAGCUAACGCAUUAAGUACUCCGCCUGGGAAGUACGCUCGCAAGAGGGAAACUCAAAGGAAUUGACGGGGACCCGCACAAGUAGCGGAGCAUGUGGUUUAAUUCGAAGCAACGCGAAGAACCUUACCUAAGCUUGACAUCCCAAUGACAUCUCCUUAAUCGGAGAGUUCCCUUCGGGGACAUUGGUGACAGGUGGUGCAUGGUUGUCGUCAGCUCGUGUCGUGA